This 420-nucleotide ribosomal RNA is filed under the name bacterium. RNAcentral's name for it is "partial 16S ribosomal RNA". It matches the Rfam family "Bacterial small subunit ribosomal RNA", at positions 355 to 776 of the family's 1533-position model. The record is from RNAcentral.
UGGGGGAUAUUGCACAAUGGGCGAAAGCCUGAUGCAGCGACGCCGCGUGGGGGAUGAAGGCUUUCGGGUUGUAAACCUCUUUCGCUAUCGAACAAGGCCCGCUUAGGGUGGGUUGAGGGUAGGUGGAGAAGAAGCGCCGGCUAACUACGUGCCAGCAGCCGCGGUAAUACGUAGGGCGCGAGCGUUGUCCGGAAUUAUUGGGCGUAAAGGGCUUGUAGGCGGCUUGUUGCGCCUGCUGUGAAAACGCGGGGCUUAACUUCGCGCGUGCAUGGGGUACGGGCAGGCUUGAGUGUGGUAGGGGUGACUGGAAUUCCAGGUGUAGCGGUGGAAUGCGCAGAUAUCUGGAGGAACACCGAUGGCGAAGGCAGGUCACUGGGCCAUUACUGACGCUGAGGAGCGAAAGCAUGGGUAGCGAACAGG